GCUCCGAUGGUGAAACUGGUAGACACUGGAGACUUAAAAUCUCCCGCCGCAAGGCGUGCCGGUUCGAUUCCGGCUCGGAGCACCA
This 85-nucleotide transfer RNA is filed under the name compost metagenome. RNAcentral describes it as "tRNA-Leu". It matches the Rfam family "tRNA". From Rfam's summary of the family: Transfer RNA (tRNA) molecules are approximately 80 nucleotides in length. The record is from RNAcentral.